AAUUCUCAACCAUCUCUUGAUUGAUUUCAAGAUCUUGGCUUGGAGUUGGGACUUGCUGGCACACGUCAGCUCUCCUGAAAUUCAUUAGCAAUGGCAGCUUGCUAGUCUUUUGACGUGCACGGCCUUUUGACGUGAUAAUGAUCGUCAUGGCUGGAGCGUCAUACUUAUUUGGAUUAUGCAUGAAUGGCCCAUGGCUUAUAAUGUUAUAUUAGUUUUCACUCGUCUCGAAAGCAAUGCCAAGUUUUAGUUACUAGUCAGUUCACAAGGCUGGCGAACACAGAGCAAGGUUUUGUCUGGACUCGGACUUGUGUUUCUAAUUUUAUUCUAA
Molecule: unclassified non-coding RNA, 328 nt
Filed under: uncultured Boletaceae
Lineage: Eukaryota; Fungi; Basidiomycota; Agaricomycetes; Boletales; Boletaceae
Description: sequence contains ITS2
Source: RNAcentral